AACGAACGCUGGCGGCAUGCCUUACACAUGCAAGUCGAACGGUAACAGGUCUUCGGAUGCUGACGAGUGGCGAACGGGUGAGUAAUACAUCGGAACGUGCCUAGUAGUGGGGGAUAACUACUCGAAAGAGUGGCUAAUACCGCAUGAGAUCUACGGAUAAAAGCAGGGGAUCGCAAGACCUUGUGCUACUAGAGCGGCCGAUGGCAGAUUAGGUAGUUGGUGGGAUAAAAGCUUACCAAGCCGACGAUCUGUAGCUGGUCUGAGAGGACGAUCAGCCACACUGGGACUGAGACACGGGCCAGACUCCUACGGGAGGCAGCAGUGGGGAAUUUUGGACAAUGGGCGAAAGCCUGAUCCAGCAAUGCCGCGUGCAGGAUGAAGGCCUUCGGGUUGUAAACUGCUUUUGUACGGAACGAAAAGCCCCGGGUUAAUACCCUGGGGUCAUGGCGGUACCGUAAGAAUAAGCACCGGCUAACUACGUGCCAGCCGCCGCGGUAA
This 498-nucleotide ribosomal RNA is filed under the name uncultured bacterium. Its description in RNAcentral is "partial 16S ribosomal RNA". It matches the Rfam family "Bacterial small subunit ribosomal RNA", at positions 29 to 523 of the family's 1533-position model. The record is from RNAcentral.